This is a long non-coding RNA of Hippocampus comes (tiger tail seahorse), 1109 nucleotides long. RefSeq lists it as uncharacterized. The record is from RefSeq and is a predicted model, not a curated record. NCBI's taxonomy places the organism in Eukaryota, Metazoa, Chordata, Actinopteri, Syngnathiformes, Syngnathidae. The transcript is spliced from 2 exons.
UCACAUUUCAAAGGCAGUGCACGUGCCUUACACCAUCGAUUACAAAGGCGACAGGGUAAUCCGACUUUUGCAUUGUACAUGAAAUUAAGUAUUCCAGAUCUUGAUUUCUUGAUUUUUUUUUUCUAAUAUCACAAACAUUGUUUUGACAUUUUGAAACCACGUAGCUGUGUUCAUGGCUUGAUGUGCUGACAGCCAGUGGGUGUGGAAAGGGGUGGACCAGUGAGUGCCUUGUGGAUCAUUAAUCCCCUCAUACUGGCUCCACCCAUGGGCUCAUGGUGUCUUUGACACAACACUUUCUAGUGCUUUGCAAUCACGGGCACAUACACACCCACGCAAAAGCACACACACCCUUCCCUAUACCAUCGACGCACACUCAGGACUCAGACCACAAACACAUGCGCAAAGCAGGUUGAUCAACAGCCUGAGGCAGCUCGGUGUCUAAUUAGGACGCGCCAUAAAUGGAAAUGGGAGACGUCAUCUACCUGGUUCUUAAAAUAACAAUUUGGAUCUAAGCAGACAUGCUUUUUUCGCGAACAUCCAAGGCUAAUUUAUUUUCUGUAUGAUCAUUUUAAGUAAAAUGAAUAGAGAACUAAAGAUUAUAAACUAUACUGUUGAUGUUGCAUGUAUGUUAACCCUUUCAGGGACCAUGGUUACUACACUGGACAGCUUAUCAUGUUAUCAGGUUACAGUGUACAUGAAAGGGUUCAUGUUAAGUACCCUGGUCUCUUUAAUUGACUCUCUAAUCUCAUGCAAUUUUUUCAGUAGGCAGGGAAGGAAGCAACAUGAGCAAGCUGCUCCAAACUACGGGUGGAAACUGCAGUCCCAGUUGACAAUGGAACCACACAAACACAAUGCUUUUAUUUUUCACAGCUCAAGUUUGACUUAUGAGGGCACAGUUACGGACGGACAAUAAAGAAACAAACACGUGCAGCAGCACCCAAUAAUGGUAGAAGAAGCCCCCGGUGACCCUAUCAAGUCAACUGUUCCACUGAAGCACCCUCUGAGAAGUCUUGAGUCUUGACUAGUUUAAUGUAGGCCCCAGCAAAAAGACAAUAGUUCCCCCAAGUACAAUGUGCAACAAUAAAGAUGCCUUUCAUCCAGUGCAAAAA